RNAcentral lists this small nuclear RNA (23 nucleotides) under Arabidopsis thaliana (thale cress). Its description in RNAcentral is "snRNA_03278". Lineage: Eukaryota; Viridiplantae; Streptophyta; Magnoliopsida; Brassicales; Brassicaceae. The record is from RNAcentral.
UUAUUCUAUACACUCCAUCUUUC